This 73-nucleotide ribosomal RNA is filed under the name Bacteroides uniformis. RNAcentral describes it as "partial 16S ribosomal RNA". It matches the Rfam family "Bacterial small subunit ribosomal RNA", at positions 1 to 68 of the family's 1533-position model. Lineage: Bacteria; Pseudomonadati; Bacteroidota; Bacteroidia; Bacteroidales; Bacteroidaceae. The record is from RNAcentral.
CUUUUACAAUGAAGAGUUUGAUCCUGGCUCAGGAUGAACGCUAGCUACAGGCUUAACACAUGCAAGUCGAGGG